AUCUGAUUAUCUUGUAAAUAAUCUCAGCACAGCCUGAGGUUCUGAUAUAGCCACGUAAGCACCUGACCUCUAUCGAUAUCCACUCAAGCAGGACCUAGAACAUCUUCUCCUUACAAAUUUAUGCUCCAAAAAUUAGAUCUCUAUUUGAUUUGGAAGUACUUCAGAACUCCUUCUAAAGUUGGAAUAGUAGCCUGUCGAAGAUGUCCUGCAGCCUUCCUGUUCCAGGCGUCACCACGUCUUGGACCUUUGCCAGAUGGACGUCCAACUCUUUGGAUGUGAAGAGGG
Molecule: long non-coding RNA, 285 nt
Filed under: Elaeis guineensis (African oil palm)
Lineage: Eukaryota; Viridiplantae; Streptophyta; Magnoliopsida; Arecales; Arecaceae
Description: long non-coding RNA (EGUI_LNC060363)
Source: RNAcentral